CUCCUGGUCUCCUGGCUCUGUUCUAGCCCACACACGCAGUAAGGAGGGGCAGGAGGCUUCCCUCUGUCUUUAGUGAGUGGGGCCCCAUAGGAACAGGUUGCCUCAGCCCCUGAGUAUGUUCAUGGGCCAUUCUGGUCUGCUUACUUAUGUUUGGCGUCUCCUGGAUAUGGUACCCCUUCCUGCAGGAAACUUACCCAUCAAGAUAUUGCAGAAGCUGGAUAAAGUCCUUAAAUUCAAGGGUGGGCGUGGACGGAUGAAGUUGUGUUUGGUUUGUCAGAGACAGCAGAGCAAAUUCUGUAAUAAUAUGUGCAGUGAUAAUCACCUGGACCCCAGUUCUGACGUAGAAAUGAGGACAAAUGGCUACAACCACAAACCCAGACAUACUCAGAAGAAGAUAAAUGAGUAG
RNAcentral lists this long non-coding RNA (406 nucleotides) under Chrysolophus pictus (golden pheasant). RNAcentral describes it as "lncRNA (ENSCPIG00010008686.1)". Lineage: Eukaryota; Metazoa; Chordata; Aves; Galliformes; Phasianidae. The record is from RNAcentral.